Myotis daubentonii (Daubenton's bat) is the source of this 286-nucleotide long non-coding RNA. RefSeq lists it as uncharacterized. The transcript is spliced from 2 exons. The record is from RefSeq and is a predicted model, not a curated record. Lineage: Eukaryota; Metazoa; Chordata; Mammalia; Chiroptera; Vespertilionidae.
ACUGAACAUGUAACAGCUGUGAGCAGCUGGGACAGGUCUCCAAGGAAGGUGGCCCCUAAAGGCAAGAUGGUCCCUAACUGGUUUGGCUCAGUGGAUAGAGCGUCGGCCUGCGGACUCAAGGGUCCCAGGUUCGAUUCUGGUCAAGGGCAUGUACCUUGGUUGCGGGCACAUCCCCAGUGAGGGGUGUGCAGGAGGCAGCUGAUCGAUGUUUCUCUCUCAUCAAUGUUUCUAACUCUCUAUCCCUCUUCCUUCCUCUCUGUAAAAAAUCAAUAAAAUAUAUUUAAAA